AUUGAACGCUGGCGGCAUGCUUUACACAUGCAAGUCGAACGGUAACAGGCCGCAAGGUGCUGACGAGUGGCGAACGGGUGAGUAAUGCAUCGGAACGUGCCCAGUCGUGGGGGAUAACGCAGCGAAAGCUGCGCUAAUACCGCAUACGAUCUAUGGAUGAAAGCGGGGGACCGUAAGGCCUCGCGCGAUUGGAGCGGCCGAUGUCAGAUUAGGUAGUUGGUGGGGUAAAGGCUCACCAAGCCAACGAUCUGUAGCUGGUCUGAGAGGACGACCAGACACACUGGGACUGAGACACGGACCAGACUCCUACGGGAGGCAGAAGUGGGGAAUUUUGGACAAUGGGCGCAAGCCUGAUCCAGCAAUGCCGCGUGCAGGAAGAAGGCCUUCGGGUUGUAAACUGCUUUUGUACGGAACGAAAAGGCUCUGGAUAAUACCUGGGGCUCAUGACGGUACCGUAAGAAUAAGCACCGGCUAACUACGUGCCAGCCGCCGCGGUAA
This 498-nucleotide ribosomal RNA is filed under the name uncultured bacterium. RNAcentral describes it as "partial 16S ribosomal RNA". It matches the Rfam family "Bacterial small subunit ribosomal RNA", at positions 29 to 523 of the family's 1533-position model. The record is from RNAcentral.